GGGUUUAACCCCCGGGGUGGGAGCAAAAACCCCGCCUCACCGGCUAAAUCCCUCCCUGCUGCAACCCCACUUUUACCUCAAUCUGCUGCAUUGCCCCCCCGCCCUCAAACAAAAGGAAGCGAUGCGGUGAAGGGGUCGAGGUCUUUCCGUGCCUUGAACCUUGAGUCGAUACAGAAUCAAUACAGCGAGCUCCAUUGUCUCCCCCCGUGUGAGAACCGGCUGUCUGGGCUUCAUUAUCUUUAAUUAGCUUCUCGUAUAGUGAAUUAAUUUGACCUGAAAUAGAACGUGCUCAGCGAUGUCUCGUGUUUAGCAUAAUCCAAAACAAUUCUAGUGUCAGAGUCCAAUUAUUUUUCAUUUUACCUUGACCUUUACCCGCCGGUGAAGGGUAUUUGGGCCGGGAAAGGGGGGGCAGUGACCUCUGUGGUUGAAGUGUUAAUUUUGGAGCAUCCUGUUGUCGAUGUGGUAGACGGGGUUGAUUGAUGUGGCUGCUACCUGUCCUCCGCUCUGCGGCCGCUGCUACAGGCGCCGGCUCCCGGUCACCGUGACAACGCUAACAAAACGAUGGAGGCAACACCUGAAUGGUUGAACGAACCAUGUGGAACAACAUCAGCAGGUCGAGUCCACCGAAGUGUUUGAGGGCGCUCCGGAGGUCCGUAUUCUCCCCCCCUCCCCGCGGCCCCCUGGGGGUCUGGUUGCUGUGAUACGGAGGGAGCAGAGACGUCAGUGAAGGUAGAGCGUGCAUGAAGCGCGUAGAGGUCAGAGGUGUCGCUGCUGGUUGGAGAGGAAACAUCUGGAGGCCGAACUCAAAGAAGACCACAACAAACUGAUGAAAGACACAUUUGAUGACGUCAUCGACUGGCUGUUUGUCCUCGCUACGAAAUGAGCCACCAAAUAAAGGCGGCGGUGGAGAACACAAAGGUUUGCUAAUUAAAACCAUGGAUGCGGUUACAGGACAAAUGAUUGCACAAAGCAUUCAGGCGCAGCUGUAAUCUUUUUGGAUCUACAUUAGUUUCCGUGUGAGAGCAGAGUCCAGCUUUGGAAGCUACACACACGGCGACCUGUUUCUAUUCCCUCGUUAAUUCGGACCAGCAGACCUUCUGGACUGCGUAACAUUGGAUUAUUCGCAGUGCGACGGCUGAAAUCGCUCAGAAUAGAAGGUUGUGGUUCCGCACGGACUCUUCUCGUAAACGCAGCGCUGUCUGUGCAGCGCGACACUGAAGAGCUUCAGAGUCCGCUCCGUUAGCAGAGGUCCGUCCACCUGCUGACGAUGCAAAACCUCUUCGUUCUCGUAGUCUCUCAUGGUACCGUUCCUUAUCCGAAGUGUGAGUGCGGAGCGCCGCUGCAGCUUACACACUGUAUCAUGUGAGGAGAAACAGCAGUUACAUGAGUAGCACGAUGCUAACAAACGCGGGCCGGCUCCUGGAGAUUAAAGCGGGCCCCCGGGGGCCGCUGAAAACAUCAUUAUCAUUCAGUCACGUUUGGUCGGCUGUGGAAUACAAGGUCAGGCCAGAUGUUGUGCAGAGGUGGCAGCUCACGGAUGGGGCAGCGCCGUCGUUACCGGGAGAGUGUGGUACACACACAGACACACACAGACACACAGACACACACACUGUCCUCAAAGCGUUCUGGAUUAGUGUUUUCUAGUGUUUGUACGAUAUUUGCCAAACCUGCUUCGAUGAAUCAUCUAAAUCCAAUUAGCAGACUUUUCAGAGGAAACAGCUGCUGUGGUCAUUGUGGAUGAUUGCUUCUGUCGAAAACAAAGUGAGAUCAAUAAUCAAACUCAUUUGUUAAUAAAAAAACAUUAAGAUUUGUUCAGCCGGUCGGCCCGAAUUCCCCCUGUAAUGGAAACGACGUCCUGUUUGGGUUUGGGAUACAGUCUCCCAGCGACUUUACGUCGGCCUUAUUUAUACAUUAUUAAACUCUUCCUCAGAAUUUGUGUCCGUUAAAGCAAUAGAUUACAUUUCUUACCAAGUGUUUAAUGAGAGUGUUGAUCGAUCCGCUAAGGCUUCACUGGGAGGCUGAGGAGCGCUGCUGUGGGUUUGUGUGUGGCUUUCCUCUUAAGUGCUAAAUAAGUCAUUAAUUGCAAUAAAAAGGGUGGUUAAUGAAAGACGGUCCUCUGGAGGUUCGCGUUGCUUUUGGUGCCACAAAAGACAUUUUCCUGCGCUGUACUUGGAGGAGGCGGGAGUCUCGUUGGCGGGGAGAAGUGAAACCAUCUGGUGGGUAAAUGCCUCCGCGCCCCGACGGGCUUUUUUCUUGUUGUCAAAUUUGCAACUCGCGCUUCCAGAAGCGCAAUUAAAAGUUCAGGUCUGCGGCGCACGCGAGCGGGGAAAGUUUCGGAGGACACGUCUUGUCUCCCGACUAUCGUAUCACAGCAGAACGGGUGGAGGCCAACGGCUGUCUGAAGGGACGGAAGAAACUUUAAACCCGGCGACGCCUUAAAAGAGUUUGUUUCCAUCGCAGAGAGGGAGAGAGCUCUGAUUGGUUGGAUUCCAUCACACCUGCACGCGAGCCUUUGGUGCAUUCUGGGGGAUAAUCACACUUCCUUAGCAAACCCGACAGCGCUCUUAUCUUCCUCUUCCUCUUCCUCCGCGAGCUCUCCGUCAGCGGCGCUCCGUCUCGUGGUUUCGGGGCCCGGCUGGGCUCCCGCGUGGCAACGUCAUCCAUCUCCACGGCGAUGGCGGUGACGGGGCUAACGGACGACAGGCGCGACGGAGCCGCCGGCUUUACCCCCCCGCCCGAGAGACGGGAGGAGGGCAACUUCGUCUGGGCGGGUCUGCAGAGAGAGACUUCCUCCUACAGCGCUCCUCCAUUACUCCGCUCCCAGCUUCAUCCAUAGUAUUCAUAUGUCUGGGGGCCCCGAGGGGCCCCGCGGGGGCCGCGGGCCGCCCGGCCGCGGGGGGGGAGUGCGCUCGGCGUGGCUUCGUCAGGCAGACGCACAAACAAGCACCGGAUGCAUUUUUAAUCAGAGGGAAAUAACGUCUCUUAAUUACAAUGGAGGUCGGGCUUUCGACCCCAGGACGCCACGCGGGGAAAACGCGUUGACUUAUUCAACGGCAUCGACAGAGUGGGGGGGCGCGUUUCACCAACAGGCUCUGCUUUAUUACCCGGAAUGCACGUUUCGUCUUCAGGUCCUUCGACCUGUGUCUUUUUUAUUACCGCGACAUUUUGUUUUACAGCUCAGCAGUUACUAGAAGUCAUCAAAUGUGCAAAUAUUAAUUAAACAUAAAGGAUAGCCCACUCAACCUCCCAUGAAAAACCCACAAAGUAAAGUGAGACAAAUCAACCGGAGCUAUUAAGAUAGGCGGCUUAAUUAUGAAUGAGCCACGUGUAGGCGUAAUAAGCAUAGCUGAUACAAUGGCUCUGUGCACAAUAUGUGCCACGGAGUAUAAAUUAGAGCCUGUUUAAAAAAGAAAAGGGGAAACACACCACGUUACACUUUAAUUACGAAGCAAUAAUUACAUUAUACGGCUGCAGGUCAGAGGUUACUCCAUCAUCAGUUAAGCAAUGAAAACUGACAUGCGGUUGAAAAGUACAAAUAACUGAAUAAUAACUGAAUAACUGAAGCGACUGAAGCGGUCGAGAAAUCCGUCUGCGGUCAAAUUAGUUUGUCAUGUAACAACCUUGUAAAUAAUUAAAUGCUGACAUUUCAAACAAACAAAAAUAAAUUUAGAAAUAAAGGAUUACGUAAGCGAUUUGAUAGUAGAAUGAUGAGAACUCUAAAGGGCUCCAAGCUGCAUUCUCUGCAAUGACCCGCAGGGGGCGACUCCUCUGCUCCCAUAGACGUCUAUGAGGAAAUGACUCUACUUCUCUGUAGUGACCAGCAGGGGGCGACUCCUCUGCUCCCAUAGACGUCUAUGAGGAAAUGACUCUACUUCUCUGUAGUGACCAGCAGGGGGCGACUCCUCUGCUCCCAUAGACGUCUAUGAGGAAAUGACUCUACUUCUCUGUAGUGACCAGCAGGGGGCGACUCCUCUGCUCCCAUAGACGUCUAUGAGGAAAUGACUCGUCUCUCUUCAUUUAUUCCCUCAGUAAACUUUGUAAAUAUGAGUUUAUGUCUCAGUCUCUAGUUUCAAGUCUUCUUCAAUGCAGCUUGAGGCUCAUUUAGUAAAUUAUGGUCCAUUUAGAGUCAAACAGACCGUAAAGCAGGGGACGCUUUAGGGCGGGGCUACAGGCUGAUUGACAGGUCUCUCUGCCAGAGACAUAUACAAUGCAACUUACCCUCAUUUAAGGGCUCUUACGAUAUCGAAGGAAGUUAAUGUUAAGGAAAGUCUGCGUUUAAGUGAAAAGGCACGUUGUUCAUCUAAGUUACUUCAUAAAUUAAAAAUAAAUCAAAGUCAACAUUCGGGUUGAAAUUGAUGUGGCAGAAGAUACAAAAGAAUAAGUCUGGUUUGGGUAGAAGCCACCGUGGAAGGUAGAGUAGGAAUGCCAUUGGGUCAAAGGGACAGACCGGACAUUAACAGCAGU
Long non-coding RNA from Gasterosteus aculeatus aculeatus (three-spined stickleback), 4464 nucleotides. Lineage: Eukaryota; Metazoa; Chordata; Actinopteri; Perciformes; Gasterosteidae. The record is from Ensembl.